UCACACCACUCCACUCCAGCCUGGACGACAGAGUGAGACUUUGUCUCAAAACAACAACAACAAAAAGUCAGCAGAGAGGAAAGGCUGGUCCUGGAACCCCAGUCUGAGAGGCCAAGUCUGCUCCUUGCAACCUCUGGAGCUUUGCUUACCCAGGGAGCAGGUUGGGGGGUUUGCUCAUCCACCUGCAGGUGGAUUUGGUGCAGCCUGGGCUCAAACUCAAGGGGUCCAACAGCCCUUCCUCCCUGAGCCUCUGUUUCCUCCUCUGUAAAGCAAGGAUUAUUCAUCAUUAACUCAUGUUUAUUAAGCACUUAAGGCAUCCAGGUCUGUUAGGACACCCUGCCCUCAGGGACCUCAUGUCUGGUAGACAAGGGAACGAGGAAAUGACUUCUGACAGGAUUUUGCAAAAGAAAGAAAACCAGGCAAAGCACCAGGUCAAGACUGCAGUGGUUGCUGAAGGCUACUUUGUGGAGGUGGUGAUUCAGGGCAAUAGCACGCCCAAAGGCCCUGAGGCAGGGAUGUGUUCAGCCCCUUGGGACAGCAUUGAGGAGGCGGCUGUGACUGAAGCAAAGUCCUGGAUGCUGGCCUCCGGGUCUUAUCGCUGAAAUCUCAGGCCUCCAACAGCAGGGAAACAUCUGCUUUCCGGAGUUCAAGGAUCUUCCAGCCCGGACGGAGGUCACAGGGAAGGAGGAUCGCUGAAACAAAGAGAAAGGGUCACACGUUGGGCGCUGACUGCAUCAACAGGGGAGACACUGGCCAGGCCCAACCCAUGGAGCGAAGAGUGAAUGCACCUGGCUCAGCUUUCAGACUGGAGGCUGCUCGAGAGCAAGGCCUGAGGCCGAGGUUUCUUGGGGGCCCAGCAGCACCAGUGUGAGGGGGCGCCGAGGAGAAGACCAGCAAUUUCUGCCUGUGGGCCAUUGAGGCAUCAGGCCUCCAGGUCAGGGGGGAUACCACCCCACCCACCAAUAAUAAAGCCCCUGUGAUUUAAGCCCAAUAAAAAGGCCCGGGGAAGGAAUUCAGGCUUGGCCUGAGGCCACUCUGGGGUCAGCAAGAGCUCCAGCGACAGAUAUAUCUGGGUUUGUGCUCCACUUUGUCACAUGUGCACUGUGUGACACUGAAGAGGUCAGUUUACCUCUCUGAGCCUCAGUUUUCCCAUUUGGAAAUCAAUCUGUCUCAUGUUAAUUGCACAUUUACAAGGAGUUGAGGCCCACAUCAGGCCCCAUCAGCUGGGAUGUAUCAGCUCCACUCCAGGGGAGGGGCCAGGAGGAGCUGGGGUGAGGAGAACAGGAAGGGAGGUUGAGAAGGUGGAUGGGGCCAGGCGCAGUGGCUUAUGCCUAUAAUCCCAACACUU
This 1348-nucleotide long non-coding RNA is filed under the name Homo sapiens (human). RNAcentral's name for it is "HSALNT0396488". The record is from RNAcentral. Lineage: Eukaryota; Metazoa; Chordata; Mammalia; Primates; Hominidae.